RNAcentral lists this ribosomal RNA (1382 nucleotides) under Salmonella enterica. Its description in RNAcentral is "partial 23S ribosomal RNA". It matches the Rfam family "Bacterial large subunit ribosomal RNA", at positions 927 to 2290 of the family's 2925-position model. The record is from RNAcentral. Lineage: Bacteria; Pseudomonadati; Pseudomonadota; Gammaproteobacteria; Enterobacterales; Enterobacteriaceae.
CCAUCCCGGCUUACCAACCCGAUGCAAACUGCGAAUACCGGAGAAUGUUAUCACGGGAGACACACGGCGGGUGCUAACGUCCGUCGUGAAGAGGGAAACAACCCAGACCGCCAGCUAAGGUCCCAAAGUCAUGGUUAAGUGGGAAACGAUGUGGGAAGGCCCAGACAGCCAGGAUGUUGGCUUAGAAGCAGCCAUCAUUUAAAGAAAGCGUAAUAGCUCACUGGUCGAGUCGGCCUGCGCGGAAGAUGUAACGGGGCUAAACCAUGCACCGAAGCUGCGGCAGCGACACUGUGUGUUGUUGGGUAGGGGAGCGUUCUGUAAGCCUGUGAAGGUGUGUCGUGAGGCAUGCUGGAGGUAUCAGAAGUGCGAAUGCUGACAUAAGUAACGAUAAAGCGGGUGAAAAGCCCGCUCGCCGGAAGACCAAGGGUUCCUGUCCAACGUUAAUCGGGGCAGGGUGAGUCGACCCCUAAGGCGAGGCCGAAAGGCGUAGUCGAUGGGAAACGGGUUAAUAUUCCCGUACUUGGUGUUACUGCGAAGGGGGGACGGAGAAGGCUAUGUUGGCCGGGCGACGGUUGUCCCGGUUUAAGCGUGUAGGUGUGUGUUCCAGGUAAAUCCGGUUCACUUUAACACUGAGGCGUGACGACGAGGCACUACGGUGCUGAAGCAACAAAUGCCCUGCUUCCAGGAAAAGCCUCUAAGCAUCAGGUAACAUCAAAUCGUACCCCAAACCGACACAGGUGGUCAGGUAGAGAAUACCAAGGCGCUUGAGAGAACUCGGGUGAAGGAACUAGGCAAAAUGGUGCCGUAACUUCGGGAGAAGGCACGCUGACACGUAGGUGAAGUGAUUUACUCAUGGAGCUGAAGUCAGUCGAAGAUACCAGCUGGCUGCAACUGUUUAUUAAAAACACAGCACUGUGCAAACACGAAAGUGGACGUAUACGGUGUGACGCCUGCCCGGUGCCGGAAGGUUAAUUGAUGGGGUCAGCGCAAGCGAAGCUCCUGAUCGAAGCCCCGGUAAACGGCGGCCGUAACUAUAACGGUCCUAAGGUAGCGAAAUUCCUUGUCGGGUAAGUUCCGACCUGCACGAAUGGCGUAAUGAUGGCCAGGCUGUCUCCACCCGAGACUCAGUGAAAUUGAACUCGCUGUGAAGAUGCAGUGUACCCGCGGCAAGACGGAAAGACCCCGUGAACCUUUACUAUAGCUUGACACUGAACAUUGAGCCUUGAUGUGUAGGAUAGGUGGGAGGCUUUGAAGUGUGGACGCCAGUCUGCAUGGAGCCGACCUUGAAAUACCACCCUUUAAUGUUUGAUGUUCUAACGUGGACCCGUUACCCGGGUUGCGGACAGUGUCUGGUGGGUAGUUUGACUGGGGCGGUCUCCUCC